This 946-nucleotide long non-coding RNA is filed under the name Marmota monax (woodchuck). Lineage: Eukaryota; Metazoa; Chordata; Mammalia; Rodentia; Sciuridae. The record is from RNAcentral.
UCUUAUAUACUAAGAGAAAGUGCUUAUGCUUAGAAUUCAAGAAGAAAGCAUUUUAUACAUAUAUAUGAAAUAUAUAUGUACACAUACACAUACAUACAUAUAUAUAUAUAUAUAUAUAUAUAUAUAGAGAGAGAGAGAGAGAGAGAGAGAGACCACCAUAGGGACAAAGGCAAAUGCCUUAACUCAUGCCCUGAUAGCUAUUAAAAAAUUGUAUAAUUUUUUUUCUGUCCUCUCACCUAACUCAUAACUUGUUAGUUAUUAAAAGCUUGGUGUGUGCCUUAACCAUCCUGCUCAAAUCACCUUAUCAGCUUUAGAGACCAGGGGCAUCAUUAGGGCCAGGAGAUUCUUGCCAUGACUCUUUAGGACAAACAGCACUAAGGAUAACAACUGUUGACAGGCAAUUAAAAUGGUAAAUUCUCAGGGCCUUUAACUUCUUACUUUCCAACCUAUGUGUUCUUCUAAGAGCUACAGCAAUUCAUUCCCAUUAUAAGACAGAGAUGUGAUAUAAGAUGUGGCACAAUAUGGAAAGCUAAAAUUUGGCUAGAAUGAUUGACCAAAUGAGCAUGCCUCCUUCAGAGUAAAAUGUGUCCUCAGAGGAAAAGAAAAAUAAACCUCUGAAAAGUACCUAAAGCCAAUAUACAUUUCUAAACCUUAGCAGAAACACUCCCACCUUACAAACUGCACUUUUACAUGAAUAAAACUAUCUUCCAUUAUUCCAGGAGCCAGCCUGACACUGUAGUCAGUGCUCUGUCUCCUUCUCAAAUAGAAGCUUUAAAAAAAAGCUUUUCCUGUAUGUCCUCUUGCCUGACUUGUUUCAUUUCUACCAUUGAUAAGUAACAGACAGAUAUGAGAGGUGGAAACAUAAGAUUAAGGGGAUAGUUCUGAAAAAAAAAAAAAAGGGGGGAUAGUUCUAUACACUGGGCCUCCUGUGCUGACCCUACAUGCU